GAUGAACGCUGGCGGCGUGCCUAAUACAUGCAAGUCGAGCGAACAGAUGAGGAGCUUGCUCCUCUGACGUUAGCGGCGGACGGGUGAGUAACACGUGGAUAACCUACCUAUAAGACUGGGAUAACUUCGGGAAACCGGAGCUAAUACCGGAUAAUAUAUUGAACCGCAUGGUUCAAUAGUGAAAGACGGUUUUGCUGUCACUUAUAGAUGGAUCCGCGCCGCAUUAGCUAGUUGUUAAGGUAACGGCUUACCAAGGCAACGAUGCGUAGCCGACCUGAGAGGGUGAACGGCCACACUGGAACUGAGACACGGUCCAGACUCCUACGGGAGGCAGCAGUAGGGAAUCUUCCGCAAUGGGCGAAAGCCUGACGGAGCAACGCCGCGUGAGUGAUGAAGGUCUUCGGAUCGUAAAACUCUGUUAUUAGGGAAGAACAAAUGUGUAAGUAACUAUGCACGUCUUGACGGUACCUAAUCAGAAAGCCACGGCUAACUACGUG
This 497-nucleotide ribosomal RNA is filed under the name uncultured bacterium. Its description in RNAcentral is "partial 16S ribosomal RNA". It matches the Rfam family "Bacterial small subunit ribosomal RNA", at positions 28 to 507 of the family's 1533-position model. The record is from RNAcentral.